RNAcentral lists this ribosomal RNA (318 nucleotides) under uncultured eukaryote. Its description in RNAcentral is "partial 18S ribosomal RNA". It matches the Rfam family "Eukaryotic small subunit ribosomal RNA", at positions 1470 to 1796 of the family's 1831-position model. The record is from RNAcentral.
CCCUUAGAUGUUCUGGGCCGCACGCGUGCUACACUGAGUGGAUCAGCGGGUCAGGCUGCGCGAAAGCGUUUCCUAAUCUUUAAAUCCGCUCGUGAUGGGGAUUGACGGUUGCAAUUUUCUGUCAUGAACGAGGAAUACCUUGUAAUCGCGAUUCAUCAUAUCGCGCUGAAUACGUCCCUGCCCUUUGUACACACCGCCCGUCGCUCCUACCGAUUGAGCGAUCCGGUGAAUGUUUUGGACUGGCGUCAGAAGCGGUUCGCUCCUGACACUACGAAAUUUUGUAAACCUUAUCGCUUAGGGGAAGGAAAAGUCGUAACA